RNAcentral lists this long non-coding RNA (609 nucleotides) under Malus domestica (apple). RNAcentral describes it as "long non-coding RNA (MDOM_LNC007340)". Lineage: Eukaryota; Viridiplantae; Streptophyta; Magnoliopsida; Rosales; Rosaceae. The record is from RNAcentral.
CCUUCCCUACCCUCCCGUCCUCUUUCACUUUCAUUUUUGUCUUUCUCUAUUAAAAAGUCAACACAAGAUGUUGACAUGGCUUAAACGUGACUAUUCAAAUAGGAGGGGAGGGAAGGAGAAGGGAAGCGAGGAGAGAAUCCUACUCCAUACUAAACUUUAUAUAGAAUUUCAAUCAAGAACACUGGACAACAAUUAUCGAGCUUUUUCCGCUCAUCAAUUAAAGUCAAUCCUAGAUGCGAUUCGAGCAUUUCUUCGAUGCAAUUAACAAUUUAACAUGAUUAGGAAGGUAUCCAAAAAGAGGUCGCACUUGGUGCGAUGGCAAGUGCCUUCGCCCAUGAGCGGUAGGUCUCGGGUUCGAGACUUGGGAGCAGCCUCUCCAUAAAUAGGGGUAAGGCUAGCCGACAUUCACCUCUCCCAGACCUUGCGUAAAGCGGGAGCCUUGUGCACUGGGUACGACCUUUUUUAGGAAGGUAUCCAAAACUAGAGAAAUGGGAAAGUACAUAAGUAAAUAAGUAACUGUAUGUUAAACAGGUAAAACCUAAUUGCACAGUAACUAAUAACUACAAUUAACUUAAGCACGGAAAUGAAGCCGAACCUGAUGAAAACCAC